Molecule: ribosomal RNA, 423 nt
Filed under: uncultured bacterium
Lineage: Bacteria
Description: bacterial SSU rRNA
Rfam family: Bacterial small subunit ribosomal RNA
Source: RNAcentral
UGAGGAAUAUUGGUCAAUGGGCGGAAGCCUGAACCAGCCAUCCCGCGUGCAGGAAGACGGCCCUAUGGGUUGUAAACUGCUUUUCCAGGGGGCGAAACUUUCCGAUGUAUCGGGAUUUGACGGUACCCUGGGAAUAAGCAUCGGCUAACUCCGUGCCAGCAGCCGCGGUAAUACGGAGGAUGCGAGCGUUAUCCGGAUUUAUUGGGCUUAAAGGGUGCGUAGGCGGAUCGAUAAGUCAGUGGUGAAACCCUGCAGCUUAACUGUAGACUUGCCGUUGAUACUGUUGGUCUUGAGUGUGGUCAAGGUAGGCGGAAUGUGUAAUGUAGCGGUGAAAUGCUUAGAUAUUACACAGAACACCGAUUGCGAAGGCAGCUUACUGGGCCAUUACUGACGCUGAUGCACGAAAGCGUGGGGAUCGAACAG